This is a long non-coding RNA of Clarias gariepinus (North African catfish), 348 nucleotides long. RefSeq lists it as uncharacterized. The record is from RefSeq and is a predicted model, not a curated record. The transcript is spliced from 3 exons. Lineage: Eukaryota; Metazoa; Chordata; Actinopteri; Siluriformes; Clariidae.
UUGAUGUGCAGUGGAGAGUUUAGUAAUUAAGCUAAAUUAACUUAAUUGGAGCGAGAUUUUCCUCUGUAAUAACAACAGAACAGUGUCAUCUGCUCAUACUGAAGUAAACAUGGUAAGAAAAAGGAGAAUAAAACCUGAAGAGGAUGCAAAUGAACACAUAUUGUCAGGCAAAGACAAGGCCUUCAUUGAGGGACAAGAAAUCAACACAUUUAAAGGGAGAGGUGUGUUUGCACUUGAACACGUUGAACCAACCACCUUUGUUGUUGAAUAUCGUGGGAUUCUCUCUCAAAGUAAACAUGUUAAAGACAUUAAUAGCAACUACUUGUUCGAUUUCACAUGGAAUGGAAA